Molecule: long non-coding RNA, 817 nt
Organism: Arabidopsis lyrata subsp. lyrata
Lineage: Eukaryota; Viridiplantae; Streptophyta; Magnoliopsida; Brassicales; Brassicaceae
Exons: 2
Source: RefSeq, a predicted model, not a curated record
CCCUUUUAAAAGGUUAACAAUUACAAAACCUAACAUGAAAUUCACUAUCUCAACAACCAAACACUCUCAAUCGUUCUCCUCCUCUACUUCCAGAUCCUGUUGCUUUCUUUUGCCAAUCGUUUGUUUCCAAAAUCAACAAAAAAAAAAAAUGGCGAGACUUUUCGUUUCUAUCCCUAUGUAACCCACACAAAUAAGCUUCUCUGUGUCUUCUUCUCAGCCACUAUUCUCGUGGCCGGUGAACAAUUUCCCCGAUGGUGUAGCCGGAAGAUUAUGUCUUAGACAGAGAAUCAGAGACUGUUCCGUGGUGAAGCGAGCAGGGCCUAGUACGAGCAUCUACUUGCUCGCGUUCGCAAAUUCUUGCUACUUUUGUCGCCGCCACUGUCUUCACUUCAAUCAAAAUCGCUGAUAAACUCGACGAAGAUUUCCUUGAGGAUUGUUGCUCUGUCAAAGAUAGAGAAGAAGUGGAAGGAAGAGCUUGAUCAAGAACUGUAAAGAAAGCGAACAAGUCAAGUCUUUUUUGUGACAAUCAUGAUUGUACACUGCACGUACUUGUGGUCUUCACGAUUCUAGAUCAAUAAUCAACUCGUUGACUUGUAGUAUAUGUUGUUGCAGAGAUCAUGCGCCAAGCAGGUUUGGUAUCAUCCCCAAGAGACCGAGGCUUGAGCCGACCGAGAGAGGUCGAGAUUUACAUCUCCAAGAUUGCACAUGACUUAUGUUUUUGUAUUUCAUUUGUGUAUUUUGUUGUGUUGUGGAUCUUAAACAUAUGACUUCAUGUUUUUGUAAACAAAAAAAAUAUUUAGAUUAUAUUUAUGUUCAA